UACAGAGGGUGCAAGCGCUGUUCGGAAUCACUGGGCGUAAAGGGCGCGUAGGCGGCGAGGUAUGUCCGAUGUGAAAGCCCUCGGCUUAACCGAGGAACGGCAUCGGAAACUACCUUGCUUGAGUGCGAGAGAGGGUGGUGGAAUUCCCAGAGUAGAGGUGAAAUUCAUAGAUACUGGGAGGAACACCUGAGGCGAAGGCGACCACCUGGCUCGUUACUGACGCUGAGGCGCGAAAGCGUGGGGAGCAAACAGG
RNAcentral lists this ribosomal RNA (253 nucleotides) under uncultured bacterium. Its description in RNAcentral is "partial 16S ribosomal RNA". It matches the Rfam family "Bacterial small subunit ribosomal RNA", at positions 524 to 776 of the family's 1533-position model. The record is from RNAcentral.